GAAUUUUGGACAAUGGGCGAAAGCCUGAUCCAGCAAUGCCGCGUGCAGGAUGAAGGACUUCGGGUUGUAAACUGCUCUUGUACGGAACGAAAAGCUUUGGGUUAAUCCCCUUGAGUAAGGACGGUACCGUACGAAUUAGCACCGGAGAAAUGCGUUGCGGCAUCCGCGGUAAUACGUAGGGUGCAAGCUUUAACCGGAAUUACUGGGCGUAAAGCGUGCGCAGGCGGUUUUGUAAGACAGAGGUGAAAUCCCCGGGCUCAACCUGGGAACUGCCUUUGUGACUGCAAGGCUAGAGUACGGCAGAGGGGGGUGGAAUUCCGCGUGUAGCAGUGAAAUGCGUAGAUAUGCGGAGGAACACCGAUGGCGAAGGCAACCCCCUGGGCCUGUACUGACGCUCAUGCACGAAAGCGUGGGGAGCAAACAG
RNAcentral lists this ribosomal RNA (424 nucleotides) under uncultured bacterium. Its description in RNAcentral is "partial 16S ribosomal RNA". It matches the Rfam family "Bacterial small subunit ribosomal RNA", at positions 359 to 775 of the family's 1533-position model. The record is from RNAcentral.